RNAcentral lists this ribosomal RNA (885 nucleotides) under uncultured organism. Its description in RNAcentral is "bacterial SSU rRNA". It matches the Rfam family "Bacterial small subunit ribosomal RNA", at positions 13 to 887 of the family's 1533-position model. The record is from RNAcentral.
UUGAUCCUGGCUCAGAACGAACGCUGGCGGCGCGUUUUAAGCAUGCAAGUCGAACGGUAGUAAGGUGCUUGCACCUUAUGAGAGUGGCGAACGGGUGAGUAACACGUAGGUGAUCUACCGUAAAGUUGGGGAUAGCCUGUGGAAACACAGGGUAAUACCGGAUAAUUCUUAUUGUUUACGGACGAUAAGGGAAAGGGGCCACGGCCCUGCUUUUCGAAGAGCCUGCGUUCCAUUAGUUAGUUGGCAGGGUAACGGCCUACCAAGGCGACGAUGGAUAGCCGGCCUGAGAGGGUGACCGGCCACACUGGGACUGAGACACGGCCCAGACUCCUACGGGAGGCAGCAGCUAAGAAUCUUCCGCAAUGGGCGAAAGCCUGACGGAGCGACGCCGCGUGGACGAAGAAGGCCGGAAGGUUGUAAAGUCCUUUUCUCGAUGAAGAAUAAGGCAGCGAGGGAAUGCGCUGUCGAUGACAUUAGUUGAAGAAUAAGCCCCGGCUAAUUACGUGCCAGCAGCCGCGGUAACACGUAAGGGGCGAGCGCUGUUCGGAAUUAUUGGGCGUAAAGGGCGCGUAGGCGGCUUGGCAAGCCUGGUGUGAAAGGCCACAGCUUAACUGUGGGAGUGCGCUGGGAACUGCCUAGCUAGAGUUUCGGAGGGGAAGCUGGAAUUCCUGGUGUAGGGGUGAAAUCUGUAGAUAUCAGGAAGAACAUCUGUGGCGAAGGCGAGCUUCUGGCCAGAAACUGACGCUGAGGCGCGAAAGCGUGGGGAGCGAACAGGAUUAGAUACCCUGGUAGUCCACACUGUAAACGAUGUGCACUAGGUGUUGGCUGUGAUAACGGUCAGUGCCGAAGCAAACGCGAUAAGUGCACCGNCUGGGGAGUAUGCUC